Molecule: long non-coding RNA, 652 nt
Filed under: Brassica napus (rape)
Lineage: Eukaryota; Viridiplantae; Streptophyta; Magnoliopsida; Brassicales; Brassicaceae
Description: long non-coding RNA (BNAP_LNC023232)
Source: RNAcentral
GGGUGCAAAAAAGUUUAAAAAAACCCCUAAACCACAAAGAGAUUAAGCUCAAUCUUUACCAACAAUGGUAAGCUUGAAGUUAAUAACAUAAUCUAGGACAAAGACAAACAAUUAAUCUCCCAAUCCCAAGCACUUCUCAUAUUACUGGAGCAACCAGAGACAACAAGAGUAAAGCCACAAGAUAAGUUCAAUCAGGUCUCACCGAAGUGGCUCCAAGCAGGCAUCGACGGCAACGGCUGGCUCCCGCCCCGGAGCUCCGUUUGGAGGAGGACGCCGACGAACAAACUCAAGCUUCCUCAGUACUUGCUAACGUGUAACCUGACAUCGACACCGUUUAAAGAUGAAGCCUGAGUUACGGUCAAGCGCAGACGGUCGUUUUGGCUCCUCAUCCGGCCACGCGACACAAAGGAUACAGCAGAAAUAUCAAGCCACACAAAAGCUAGCAACUGGAGCUUAGGAGGUAGGGAAUUGAAGUGCAGAAGGAGUGUGAAAGCUCCUUGAAACAGACGAAUCCAAAACCAGUGAGAAUACCACCUCAAUGCAGGAGACAUUUUCGCAAGGGUUGUCCUCAAAACCCUAGGAAACAGCAUCGAGAGCAGAAAGGAGGACAAAUACAGGUUCUGGAGUCACGCCAUGGUUGUCGUCAUUCGAC